ACUCCUACGGGAGGCAGCAGUAGGGAAUCUUCCACAAUGGGCGCAAGCCUGAUGGAGCAACACCGCGUGAGUGAAGAAGGGUUUCGGCUCGUAAAGCUCUGUUGUUAAAGAAGAACACGUAUGAGAGUAACUGUUCAUACGUUGACGGUAUUUAACCAGAAAGUCACGGCUAACUACGUGCCAGCAGCCGCGGUAAUACGUAGGUGGCAAGCGUUAUCCGGAUUUAUUGGGCGUAAAGAGAGUGCAGGCGGUUUUCUAAGUCUGAUGCGAAAGCCUUCGGCUUAACCGGAGAAGUGCAUCGGAAACUGGAUAACUUGAGUGCAGAAGAGGUAGUGGAACUCCAUGUGUAGCGGUGGAAUGCGUAGAUAUAUGGAAGAACACCAGUGGCGAAGGCGGCUACCUGGUCUGCAACUGACGCUGAGACUCGAAAGCAUGGGUAGCGAACAGGAUUAGAUACCCCUGGUAGGAUAGCG
This 473-nucleotide ribosomal RNA is filed under the name uncultured bacterium. RNAcentral's name for it is "bacterial SSU rRNA". It matches the Rfam family "Bacterial small subunit ribosomal RNA", at positions 335 to 801 of the family's 1533-position model. The record is from RNAcentral.